AGUGAACGCUGGCGGUAGGCCUAACACAUGCAGGUCGAACGGCAGCACAGUAAGAGCUUGCUCUUACGGGUGGCGAGUGGCGGACGGGUGAGGAAUACAUCGGAAUCUACUUUUUCGUGGGGGAUAACGUAGGGAAACUUACGCUAAUACCGCAUACGACCUACGGGUGAAAGCAGGGGAUCUUCGGACCUUGCGCGAUUGAAUGAGCUGAUGUCGGAUUAGCUAGUUGGCGGGGUAAAGGCCCACCAAGGCGACGAUCCGUAGCUGGUCUGAGAGGAUGAUCAGCCACACUGGAACUGAGACACGGUCCAGACUCCUACGGGAGGCAGCAGUGGGGAAUAUUGGACAAUGGGCGCAAGCCUGAUCCAGCCAUACCGCGUGGGUGAAGAAGGCCUUCGGGUUGUAAAGCCCUUUUGUUGGGAAAGAAAAGCAGCAGGUUAAUACCCCGCUGUUCUGACGGUACCCAAAGAAUAAGCACCGGCUAACUUCGUG
Molecule: ribosomal RNA, 492 nt
Filed under: uncultured bacterium
Lineage: Bacteria
Description: partial 16S ribosomal RNA
Rfam family: Bacterial small subunit ribosomal RNA
Source: RNAcentral